UACGGGAUAAUAUAUUUGAGAGGCAUCUCUUAAAUAUCAAAGGUGAGCCAGUACAGGAUGGACCCGCGUCUGAUUAGCUAGUUGGUAAGGUAACGGCUUACCAAGGCGACGAUCAGUAGCCGACCUGAGAGGGUGAUCGGCAACAUUGGAACUGAGACACGGUCCAAACUCCUACGGGAGGCAGCAGUGGGGAAUAUUGCACAAUGGGCGAAAGCCUGAUGCAGCAACGCCGCGUGAGUGAUGAAGGCCUUCGGGUCGUAAAACUCUGUCCUCAAGGAAGAUAAUG
RNAcentral lists this ribosomal RNA (286 nucleotides) under Clostridioides difficile. RNAcentral describes it as "partial 16S ribosomal RNA". It matches the Rfam family "Bacterial small subunit ribosomal RNA", at positions 167 to 453 of the family's 1533-position model. Lineage: Bacteria; Bacillati; Bacillota; Clostridia; Peptostreptococcales; Peptostreptococcaceae. The record is from RNAcentral.